UCAAGCGCGAAAAGGGCGUUUGGUGAAUGCCUUGGCAGUAAGAGGCGAUGAAGGACGUGAUACUCUGCGAUAAGUUAUGGGGAGCUGAGAAUAAGCUUUGAUCCAUAAAUUUCCGAAUGGGGCAACCCACCUGAUACUUUGUUAUUAAUACCACUUUAUAUGAGUGCCGUUUAAGGGUUCGCCCUGAGGCAGCGCUUUAUGCGGUGGGGCAUAAUAAUAGGGUAAACCAGGUAUUUAUAACUUGAAUACAUAGGGUUAUAAAAGCAAACCCGGGGAACUGAAACAUCUAAGUACCCGGAGGAAAGGACAUCAAUUAGAUACUCCCCUAGUAGCGGCGAGCGAACGGGGACCAGCCGAGCCAUAAAUGUGACUAGAAUGUGUUGGAAAGCACAACCAAAGUGGGUGACAGUCCCGUAUAGGAAGCAUGAUUGGACGUAUUAAGUAGGGCGGGACACGUGAAAUCCUGUUCGAAGAUCGGAGGACCACCUCCGAAGGCUAAGUACUCCUUACUGACCGAUAGUGAACCAGUACCGUGAGGGAAAGGUGAAAAGCACCCCGACGAGGGGAGUGAAACAGUACCUGAAACCGAACGCCUACAAUCAGUUGGAGGGCCCUUGCGGCCUGACAGCGUACCUUUUGUAUAAUGGGUCAUCGACUUGGUCUAUCUAGCAAGCUUAAGCCGUUAGGUGUAGGCGCAGCGAAAGCGAGUCUUAAUAGGGCGAAUGAGUUAGAUGGAUCAGACCCGAAACCGAGUGAUCUAGGCAUGGCCAGGAUGAAGGUAAGGUAACACUUACUGGAGGUCCGAACCCACACCUGUUGAAAAAGGUCGGGAUGAGUUGUGCCUAGGGGUGAAAGGCCAAUCAAACUCGGAGAUAGCUGGUUCUCCGCGAAAUCUAUUUAGGUAGAGCGUCAUCCGAAUACCCCGGGGGGUAGAGCACUGGAUGGGUAAUGGGGCCCCACAGGCUUACUGAUCCUAACCAAACUCCGAAUACCCGGGAGUACUAGAUGGCAGACACACUGCGGGUGCUAACGCCCGUAGUGAAAAGGGAAACAACCCUGACCGACAGUUAAGGCCCCUAAUUCAUGGCUAAGUGGGAAAGCAGGUGGGACGACCAAAACAACCAGGAAGUUGGCUUAGAAGCAGCCAUCUUUUAAAGAUAGCGUAACAGCUCACUGGUCUAAUCAAGUUGUCCUGCGGCGAAGAUGUAACGGGGCUCAAGCCAUGAGCCGAAACUUCGGAUGCAUUUAAUGCAUGGUAGCGGAGCGUAGUGUGACAUAGGUCCAUGCGUCCUUCGUUUUAUAGCGGACUGCGCAGGCUUUCGAGCCUGAGUGGCGGCGCGUAAAAUACUGGACGCAAGGAUCUUUCUGUGAAGCCGGCCUGUGAGGGAUCCGGUGGAGAGAUCACUAGUGAGAAUGAUGACAUGAGUAACGACAAAGGGGGUGAGAGACCCCCUCGCCGAAAAUCCAAGGGUUCCUGCUUAAAGCUAAUCUGAGCAGGGUAAGCCGGCCCCUAAGCCGAGGGCGAAAGCCGUAGGCGAUGGGAACCAGGUUAAUAUUCCUGGGCCAGGAGGAAGUGACGGAUCACGAAGAUUGUUGGAUCAGGCGUAGUUGCCCCAGCAGUUCAGUGGUUCCUGGAAAUAGCCCUCCAUCAGACCGUACCCUAAACCGACACAGGUGGAUAGGUAGAGUAUACCAAGGCGCUUGAGAGAACUAUGUUGAAGGAACUCGGCAAAAUACCUCCGUAAGUUCGCGAGAAGGAGGCCCGGUUUCUAGGCAACUGGAAGCUGGGGGCACAAACCAGGGGGUGGCGACUGUUUACUAAAAACACAGGGCUCUGCGAAGUCGCAAGACGACGUAUAGGGUCUGACGCCUGCCCGGUGCCUGAAGGUUAAAAGGAGGAGUGCAAGCUCCGAAUUGAAGCCCAGGUAAACGGCGGCCGUAACUAUAACGGUCCUAAGGUAGCGAAAUUCCUUGUCGGGUAAGUUCCGACCUGCACGAAUG
RNAcentral lists this ribosomal RNA (2001 nucleotides) under marine metagenome. RNAcentral's name for it is "bacterial LSU rRNA". It matches the Rfam family "Bacterial large subunit ribosomal RNA", at positions 1 to 1998 of the family's 2925-position model. The record is from RNAcentral.